UCACGAUGAACCCCGCGGCCCUAUCAGCUAGUUGGUGAGGUAACGGCUCACCAAGGCUAAGACGGGUAGCUGGUCUGAGAGGACGACCAGCCACACUGGAACUGAGACACGGUCCAGACACCUACGGGUGGCAGCAGUCGAGAAUUUUUCACAAUGGGCGAAAGCCUGAUGGAGCGACGCCGCGUGGGGGACCUGAAGGGCUUCGGCCUGUAAACCCCUGUCAUUUGCGAACAAACCUUUCCGUCGAACACGCGGAAAGCUGAUUGUAGCGAAAGAGGAAGGGACGGCUAACUCUGUGCCAGCAGCCGCGGUAAUACAGAGGUCCCAAGCGUUGUUCGGAUUCACUGGGCGUAAAGGGUGCGUAGGUGGUCAGGUUAGUUCGAUGUGAAAGCUCCGGGCUUAACCCGGAAAUGGCAUUGAAUACUGCCUGGCUGGAGGAUCGGAGGGGAGACUGGAAUUCUCGGUGUAGCAGUGAAAUGCGUAGAUAUCGAGAGGAACACCAGUGGCGAAGGCGAGUCUCUGGACGAUUCCUGACACUGAGGCACGAAAGCUAGGGGAGCAAACAGGAUUAGAUACCCUGGUAGUCCUAGCUGUAAACGGUGCACAUUUGCCGUGAGGGGAUUCGACCCCCUUCGUGGCGUAGCUAACGCGAUAAAUGUGCCGCCUGGGAAGUACGGCCGCAAGGUUAAAACUCAAAUGAAUUGACGG
Molecule: ribosomal RNA, 708 nt
Filed under: uncultured Verrucomicrobiota bacterium
Lineage: Bacteria; Pseudomonadati; Verrucomicrobiota
Description: bacterial SSU rRNA
Rfam family: Bacterial small subunit ribosomal RNA
Source: RNAcentral